AGAAAGAACACAUAAUAAGGAUCUUAAUUUUCAAGAGGCAUUCCUUCGGUUAUCACGCUGAGCAACAACCAGUUGCAGCAAAACAAUCAAUAACACUUAAAACUACCAAACUAAAACCUUAAGCCUGAGAAUCUGCAUCUCCAUACAUAACACAACAACAAAUACCUAUACAUAAGUGGUCAAAUUCACUAUUGAACUAUCUUCCAGAAAGGAUCAUCAAAUUAUUCUCAGGUUCCAGAGUGAAUGCCUACAUCACGAUCACACGCAAUGGGCACAAGCAUCCGCUUACUGAAGGCCCGUGUUUGCACCUAAAGCCAAGCAAGAGCUUAGACUCGAGCUUCGUACCAGGCCAAUGUUGUCCAUGAUUCGCAAGCACGUCCUUUAAGUUCUUGAAACAGAGUAGAAACCUGCAUAUAUUUGUAAUCAGAAAUUAGAGAGAUCAACAAAGAAAAAGGAGGGAAAGUCUCAUUAUUUUGGGAAUUCCUAUUUUAUUAGGGAAAGGGAGCACAAGAGAUUCUUAAUCCAUCCUAGUGAGGUUACAAUAUCCAUGCAAAAAACCAGGGGGAAAGAGGAGGCAGUAAUUCCAUGUAAGAAUCAUAAUGUAGUACCAGUAGUGACAUAGAAUAACAUAGAGAUUGCGAUAAGGUUUUAUAAUGUAUAUAUAUGGCAUGGAUCUCACCAUUAUUUGCUGGAGAUUAAUAACACAAAUUAUUAUUUUUGCAUGUAUCCUGCCAUCACGUGCAUUAUUUCAUUUUAGUACUUAGUAAACAACAAAGUUAAACUUGCACCAUCCCAACAAGUGGAUCUUCUAGUUACUCUGUCAAUCAACAUAUUGACUUGAAAAGAACUAAUAUUCCAUACAAUCGAGAAAAUAAAAUUCAAGUAGCAACAAUGCAGGUAUAUGGACUGAACUCUUCCUCAAAAUAAUACGUAUAUGCUUCAGAUUUAACUACCAUGUAUUUAUUCCACCUAUCUUCUAACCAGAUAGUUUAAGAGACUCUCACUAAAAAUGUUAAAAUGAGAAUCCUAUGAAAUAUCAUGAAAUACAGAAGGUUCUUUAUAAAUGAAGAAGAUGGUUAACAGGGCAAGCUUAGAAUAAUCCACUAAAGCAAAGAAUGUGAGUAUAAUUGAAAAAAGCAUGUCACAGCAAUUCCACACACACACACACAAUGUGCCACAUAGAAAUUCAGGAUAGCAAAAGAAAAAAUUAGUUACUUAGCCUUAUAUCAAUCUCCACCGAUGGUUGGAUCCUCCAUUGCUGCAACUCCGCCUGCUUUUAAUGGCAUAGGUGAGCGCGCGCACACACACACACAAUGACCUAUAGGCGGCCGACGGAUUACGUUAGCGUAUCACGUGAGGUUGAGAAAGCACGUAUCCAUGUCGAGCACCAAUGGGCUUGUUUGCACAUAUUUUGAAUGAUGAUAGUAUCAAAGUGACUUGAGGUGC
Molecule: long non-coding RNA, 1446 nt
Filed under: Triticum aestivum (bread wheat)
Lineage: Eukaryota; Viridiplantae; Streptophyta; Magnoliopsida; Poales; Poaceae
Description: long non-coding RNA (TAES_LNC024438)
Source: RNAcentral